This 253-nucleotide ribosomal RNA is filed under the name uncultured microorganism. RNAcentral's name for it is "partial 16S ribosomal RNA". It matches the Rfam family "Bacterial small subunit ribosomal RNA", at positions 524 to 776 of the family's 1533-position model. The record is from RNAcentral.
UACGUAGGGUGCGAGCGUUGUCCGGAAUUACUGGGUGUAAAGGGUGCGUAGGCGGGCAUGUGCGUCGGAGGUUAAAUACAACGGCUUAACCGUUGAACUGCCUUCGAAACGGCAUGUCUUGAAUGUGGGAGAGGAUGAUGGAAUUCCUGGUGUAGCGGUGAAAUGCGUAGAUAUAACACAGAACACCGAUCGCGAAGGCAGCUCACUAAUUUUCAACUGACGCUCAUGCACGAAAGCGUGGGGAUCAAACAGG